UCCCUGGUGGUCCAGUGGUUAAGACUCCUCACUCCCAGUGCAGGGGGCUUGGGUUCAAUCCCUGGUCAGGGAA
Bos taurus (domestic cattle) is the source of this 73-nucleotide non-coding RNA. The record is from Rfam. Lineage: Eukaryota; Metazoa; Chordata; Mammalia; Artiodactyla; Bovidae.